This 1437-nucleotide ribosomal RNA is filed under the name Triticum aestivum (bread wheat). Its description in RNAcentral is "partial small subunit ribosomal RNA". Lineage: Eukaryota; Viridiplantae; Streptophyta; Magnoliopsida; Poales; Poaceae. The record is from RNAcentral.
AUGGCGUCGCGAAUGGCCACGGUGGUGCUCGCCGGAGCCCUCCCCGUACCCCCGCGCGCUCCCACGGCCGCGGCCGGCGGCACCAAGUUCGUCGUGUGGACGAAGCGCCCGAGCUUCCACCACGGCAUUCGCUGCGGCGUCGCCCGUGCCCCGCGCAGCCGCCCGCAGCACGCCUCCUCUCCAAGCACGGCUGAGGUAGCUGCAACUCUUACUCCGAACCACGUCUUCCGAGGUCUCCGGAGGCCUUAUCUCCACCUGAAUGGUCUGGUUCAGGAGGGAGUUCUCGAGCUGCUCAAGAGCGCGGUCGCGGCAAUUGCUAUCAUCGCCCAGAUUUCCGUGGCGCUGCCGGCGAACGCGGUCCUCUACUCGCCGGACACGAACGUGCCCAGGACGGGGGAGCUCGCGCUGCGAAGGGCCAUCCCUGCCAACCCAAGCAUGAAGACCAUACAGAACUCGUUGGAGGACAUCUCGUACCUGCUGAGGAUACCACAGAGGAAGCCGUAUGGCUCCAUGGAGGGGGAUGUCAAGAAGGCCAUGCAGAUAGCAACUGAAAACAAGGAGGCAAUGUUGGCAAGCAUGCCUGCAGAACUCAAGGAAAAGGGCUCGGAGCUAUAUACCACUUUGCUUGAAGGGAAGGGUGGUUUACAAACUCUCUUGAAAUAUAUUAAGGAUAAGGACAAUGAUAGACUCUCCGUAGCGCUUGCUUCUUCUCUUGAUACUAUUGCUGAAUUGGAGCUGUUGCAGGCUCCAGGCUUAUCCUUUCUCUUACCUAAACAGUAUUUAGAGUACCCAAGGCUAACAGGAAGAGCAGUUGUUGAAUUCACAGUUGAGAAAGGUGAUGGCUCAACAUUCUUUCCAACUGCUGGUGGUGAACCCAAAAGUGCUGCUACAAUUCAGGUUGUAGUUGAUGGAUAUUCUGCCCCACUGACUGCUGGAAACAUUGCGAAACUGGUUUUGGAUGGGGCAUAUGAUGGUGCAACACUGAAAUCUGUGAGCCAGGCAAUUAUUGUAGACAGUGAGACCGGGAAGAAAGGGUAUACUCUUCCAUUGGAGGUCAUGCCUGCUGGACAGUUUGAACCACUAUACAGAAGCCCGCUAAGUAUUCAGGAUGGAGAAUUGCCAGUCCUUCCAAUGUCUGUAUACGGCUCUGUUGCCAUGUCACAUAGUGAGGAUUCAGAUGAAUACUCGUCACCAACCCAGUUCUUCUUCUAUCUGUAUGAUAAGAGAAAUUCUGGUUUAGGAGGAAUAUCUUUCGAGGAGGGACAAUUUUCAGUUUUUGGGUAUGCCACAGACGGAAGAGAUGUCCUUUCACAGAUUAAGGCUGGAGAUAAAAUUCGCUCGGCCAAGCUGAUACAGGGCAGGGAACGCCUUGUACUACCGGCAGCAGCUUCAGCGCCAGCCCCAGCAGAUCCAACGCUGGCUCCGGCAGAGAGCUGA